Molecule: long non-coding RNA, 936 nt
Filed under: Mus spicilegus (steppe mouse)
Lineage: Eukaryota; Metazoa; Chordata; Mammalia; Rodentia; Muridae
Description: lncRNA (ENSMSIG00000018867.1)
Source: RNAcentral
UAGUGCCCCUUCCUAUAACCCCUUCCUUCUGCAGGGCACUAAACAACAAAUUUCCCUCUUCUCGGAUGUCACUGUUGACCUGUCAUCAAAGCAAAUGACCUCUCCAAUUAGUCUGCACUUGAAGCCACAGGCAUCAUCUCUGUCUGGUGGAGAUACGUUAGAAGACAAGCCAAGAUGCAGCGAUUCAUAGCUGGCUCUGCUAGAUGAGAACAGAAGACAAGAGGGAGUGGAAGAGGGGUCUAUGGAUUUUUGAAAAGCUGGGUGUUAAGACACACGAGGCUACUGAGGAGUGCAGAGAAGGCAUAGCUCAAAGCCAGUAAUCUUAUGUCACUGUACAGCCACUUCCAAAUGAUGCUCAUUGUGGUUACUGUCACCACUGGGACUGCAAGUGGAGAGGAGAGGGACAUGGAGGACUAUGAGCAGCUGCAUUUCCACAGAUGUUCCUCUCUUGCUGGAAAGUAUACUUCAAAAAAAUGUGUGUUGAUUACAUUUAAAGGGGAUACACAGUGAAUGGAUAAUGCAAAACAAGUUUUUUUUUUUAAAUCCAUUAUUCACAUACACACACAGAUGCACACACAUCAUAUAUAUAUAUAUAUAACACCAUCUUCCAUUGGUCCAUAGAUGCAUAGAAGGAGAACACACUGUGCCACAAGUGUUGCCUAGCCUGGGGACACAACUCCAUCUUUACUGGACACAUGGCUCUGAGCACAUGAGUUUUCCUAUUAGCCAUUUCCUUCUGGGCUCACAGCAACCUACCCUCCCUCUUGAGCUAGGGAGGCGAUGCCCUGGGAUGCUGUGUUUCUGUGUCAUGGCGGCGAUGACCUCCUGCUCAGCACAUGGCCCUGGACUUCUGGCAUCUGACCAUUGGUUUCUCAGAGGUGACAAAGUGACAAUCAAUAUGUUGUUCAUGCAAAUUGUAAUUUCUCUUAAAAUAUU